GUGAAGAACGUAGCGAAAUGCGAUAAGUAAUGUGAAUUGCAGAAUUCCGUGAAUCAUCGAAUCUUUGAACGCACAUUGCGCCCCCUGGUAUUCCGGGGGGCAUGCCUGUCCGAGCGUCAUUGCAACCCUCAAGCGCGGCUUGUGUGUUGGGCUUCGUCCCCCCGUGGACGUGCCCGAAAGGCAGUGGCGGCGUCCCGAAUGGUGCCCGAGCGUAUGGGAACUCUCUUCCGCUCGAACCGGCCCAUUCGGCGCUGGUCGAACCCCAAUUUUUUUUUACCGGUUGACCUCGGAUCAGGUAGGGAUACCCGCUGAACUUAAGCAUAUCAAUAAGCGGAGGA
RNAcentral lists this unclassified non-coding RNA (338 nucleotides) under soil metagenome. Its description in RNAcentral is "partial contains 5.8S ribosomal RNA, internal transcribed spacer 2, and large subunit ribosomal RNA". The stretch from base 2 to 119 matches the Rfam family "5.8S ribosomal RNA", at positions 37 to 154 of the family's 154-position model. The record is from RNAcentral.